This 310-nucleotide long non-coding RNA is filed under the name Hordeum vulgare. Its description in RNAcentral is "long non-coding RNA (HVUL_LNC018962)". Lineage: Eukaryota; Viridiplantae; Streptophyta; Magnoliopsida; Poales; Poaceae. The record is from RNAcentral.
UAACUUGCACAUCUUGAUUAUAUAACCAAAAGGGGAGAACACAGUUACAAAAUCACCUUCUGUUGAUCACAGUUAACAUCAUCUCACUACUACUGAUCACAGUUACAAAAUCAGCUUCCUCACAGUUACAAGAUCUACCAUAACUUCAUCACUAGCAUCAGACACAUCAUGCACAAGAGAACACCUACUGCCACAACUAUCUUCAACAGAAGAACAAUCUGCCUGCCAACCUGCAACAAUGAUGCAUUCAUCCUCUCCUCGGAGCAUGGACCCCUAAUAAAUCCAGCUCUAGCUCUUCUCUGUUCAUUGC